UGGUAUGAAGGAAACCAACUCUAUACUGUAUUAGGUUAUGUGGUAUUAAGGAAACCAACUCUAUACUGUAUUAGGUUAUGUGGUAUUAAGGAAACCAACUCUAUACUGUAUUAGGUUAUGUGGUAUUAAGGAAACCAACUCUAUACUGUAUUAGGUUAUGUGGUAUUAAGGAAACCAACUCUAUACUGUAUUAGGUUAUGUGGUAUGAAGGAAACCAACUCUAUACUGUAUUAGGUUAUGUGGUAUUAAGGAAACCAACUCUAUACUGUAUUAGGUUAUGUGGUAUUAAGGAAACCAACUCUAUACUGUAUUAGGUUAUGUGGUAUUAAGGAAACCAACUCUAUACUGUAUUAGGUUAUGUGGUAUUAAGGAAACCAACUCUAUACUGUAUUAGGUUAUGUGGUAUUAAGGAAACCAACUCUAUACUGUAUUAGGUUAUGUGGUAUUAAGGAAACCAACUCUAUACUGUAUUAGGUUAUGUGGUAUUAAGGAAACCAACUCUAUACUGUAUUAGGUUAUGUGGUAUGAAGGAAACCAACUCUAUACUGUAUUAGGUUAUGUGGUAUGAAGGAAACCAACUCUAUACUGUAUUAGGUUAUGUGGUAUUAAGGAAACCAACUCUAUACUGUAUUAGGUUAUGUGGUAUUAAGGAAACCAACUCUAUACUGUAUUAGGUUAUGUGGUAUUAAGGAAACCAACUCUAUACUGUAUUAGGUUAUGUGGUAUUAAGGAAACCAACUCUAUACUGUAUUAGGUUAUGUGGUAUUAAGGAAACCAACUCUAUACUGUAUUAGGUUAUGUGGUAUUAAGGAAACCAACUCUAUACUGUAUUAGGUUAUGUGGUAUUAAGGAAACCAACUCUAUACUGUAUUAGGUUAUGUGGUAUUAAGGAAACCAACUCUAUACUGUAUUAGGUUAUGUGGUAUGAAGGAAACCAACUCUAUACUGUAUUAGGUUAUGUGGUAUUAAGGAAACCAACUCUAUACUGUAUUAGGUUAUGUGGUAUUAAGGAAACCAACUCUA
This is a long non-coding RNA of Oncorhynchus keta (chum salmon), 1023 nucleotides long. RefSeq lists it as uncharacterized. NCBI's taxonomy places the organism in Eukaryota, Metazoa, Chordata, Actinopteri, Salmoniformes, Salmonidae. The record is from RefSeq and is a predicted model, not a curated record. The transcript has 4 exons.